UUUAUCCUUCAGGGCAGGGUGAAAUUCCCGACCGGCGGUACAGCCCGCGAGCGGCAUAAUGCUGCAGAUUCUGGUGAAAUUCCAGAGCCGACAGUAAAGUCUGGAUGGAAGAAGGAGGUG
This 120-nucleotide non-coding RNA is filed under the name Caloramator quimbayensis. Its description in RNAcentral is "FMN sequence". It matches the Rfam family "FMN riboswitch aptamer (RFN element)". From Rfam's summary of the family: The RFN element is a highly conserved domain that is found frequently in the 5'-untranslated regions of prokaryotic mRNAs that encode for flavin mononucleotide (FMN) biosynthesis and transport proteins. Lineage: Bacteria; Bacillati; Bacillota; Clostridia; Eubacteriales; Clostridiaceae. The record is from RNAcentral.